AUAAAUUCACAAAUUCCUACAAGUUCAUAAUCGAUCUUCAUUUAUUUGUUGAAAGUACAACCUACGAGAUGUGGGAUAGUUUGUUAAAGAUUUUAGGUUGCAUUUUAGAAAGAAAUAUAGAAAUUAGUUUAUUUGGGUUAUUGUAAUUAUUUAGGGUAUUUUAUUAGGGUUAGCGUUCCUACAUAAGUUUUAUUAGCAGUUCUUUAUUGUUA
Molecule: unclassified non-coding RNA, 212 nt
Filed under: Hevea brasiliensis (rubber tree)
Lineage: Eukaryota; Viridiplantae; Streptophyta; Magnoliopsida; Malpighiales; Euphorbiaceae
Source: RNAcentral